AUACUUACCUGGCAGGGGGGAUACCAUGAUCACGAAGGUGGUUUUCCCAGGGCGAGGCUUAUCCAUUGCACUCCAGAUGUGCCGACCCCUGUGAUUUCCCCAAAUGUGAGAAACUCGACUGCAUAACUAAA
Molecule: small nuclear RNA, 131 nt
Filed under: Saimiri boliviensis boliviensis (Bolivian squirrel monkey)
Lineage: Eukaryota; Metazoa; Chordata; Mammalia; Primates; Cebidae
Description: U1 spliceosomal RNA (ENSSBOG00000018588.1)
Rfam family: U1 spliceosomal RNA
About the family: U1 is a small nuclear RNA (snRNA) component of the spliceosome (involved in pre-mRNA splicing). Its 5' end forms complementary base pairs with the 5' splice junction, thus defining the 5' donor site of an intron.
Source: RNAcentral